Molecule: ribosomal RNA, 483 nt
Filed under: uncultured bacterium
Lineage: Bacteria
Description: SSU rRNA
Rfam family: Bacterial small subunit ribosomal RNA
Source: RNAcentral
AGGACGAACGCUGGCGGCGUGCUUAACACAUGCAAGUCGAGCGAACCUUCGGGUUAGCGGCGAACGGGUGAGUAACACGUGGGCAACCUGCCCCGAGCUCUGGGAUAACUCCGGGAAACCGGGGCUAAUACCGGAUAUGACCCGAGAAGACAUCUUCUCGGGUGGAAAGUUUUUCGGCUCGGGAUGGGCCCGCGGCCUAUCAGCUUGUUGGUGGGGUAAUGGCCUACCAAGGCGACAAUCCGUAGCUGGUCUGAGAGGACGACCAGCCACACCGGAACUGAGACACGGUCCGGACUCCUACGGGAGGCAGCAGUGGGGAAUAUUGGACAAUGGGGGAAACCCUGAUCCAGCGACGCCGCGUGUGUGAAGAAGGCCUGCGGGUUGUAAAGCACUUUUAGUGGGGACAAAAAGCUACGGAUUAAUACUCUGUGGUCUUGAUUUAACCCAAAGAAAAGCACCGGCUAACUCUGCGCCAGCAGCCGC